Molecule: long non-coding RNA, 3795 nt
Organism: Anopheles coluzzii
Lineage: Eukaryota; Metazoa; Arthropoda; Insecta; Diptera; Culicidae
Exons: 3
Source: RefSeq, a predicted model, not a curated record
UUUAAAAAAAGUGUAAACAAUGUUUGAAUCCUGGGGAUCUUACGUCAAGUGACGAAUUGUCAAAAUGCUCUAGAUUCCACCACCUGAUAUUUUUAAAUCCACCUUCGUGUGGAUGCAGGUGCACGAGAUUCCUGAACUCUGUGUGGUUUCUCUUACUGCUAAAUCGUAUGCACAGAAAGCUGCGCUACAACACACCCAGACUAAAAUUUAAAGGCCCCGAAACACAAUAUAAAUACACCGGUUCGUAGCCGGUAAAAUUAGCAGGAAAAAUUGACUAACAUCAAGCAAGCAACGGUGCUCCAGUGGGUAGAGGUUUCAUUCGAGAUGCGAUUCCAUCGAUAUCGAUGUGUGCGCUUUUCAAUUUGGCUUGGAUGAAACGUGCCUGUGCUUGCUAGGGGCCCCUAUACUUGUUUUGCAGAUGUGUGCCGAAAACGGACAGCUUUCACGCGAAAAAUGGUAUUCAUAUCUCAAGCCAGAGAUCGUGAAGCGUGCCUGCUUUUAAACCAAAACCUUACAUUUUCACGCGGGGCCCUACUCAUCUUUUGUGGUCAACUGACAAAUAGGGGAAAUCGGGAAGGGGUGGUAUUCUUAUGUCUGAAAAGGAACUGGGCCAUGUUAAUAUUAAAAUGAUGUUUUAUCACUAUUUACAUACAACUUUUUACGUGAAGACAAGAUAAAAAAAAACCGUUACAGCUAUAUUGAAGCCAAAACUCAAAGGUGGUUUACGGGGCCCCAACGAUUAUGUGAACUUUUCGAUGAAGGGCCCCCGUCGGUAAGGGCCCCCGUCGGUAAGGAGGCCUCGUCAAUAAGGGGCCCCGUGCAUUUGGUGUCUUAGUGUGGAUGGUCUGUGCACGAGCUCACCAAAAAAACGGGGAGACACUUGCUGCUAAAAUCCAAUGCACAGAACACAGAACAGAACGCUGCGUUUAACCUCAAAGAAAACCCGUAACAACAGCCACAAGCACACAUCAUACACAGACAAAAAUUUAAAGGCCCCUACACAGAAUUUCAAUACACCGGCUCGUAGCCGGAGAAAUUAGCAGGAAAAAUUGACACCAAGCUCGCGUCGCUUUAAAAAGCCUAGGAAGGUCGUUUGGUCAACGGUGCUUCAGUGGGUUGAGGUUUCAUUCGAGAAAUGGUUAAAUCGAUCCCAAGUAGCAACCGAAGCUUUUUUCUCCCAGUUUCAACCCCCUCAUGUCCACAAACUGCCUUCGCUUACUAUUCCUAUCUCGUUUCUACAUUCUACAACGUUUGUUGCGUUCUCGCUCAUCAGGGUGUUAGUCAAUUCUCUCUUGCCACACGAAGAGAAUUAUCCUGCACACUUCGUGUGUUGGAUUCUACCCAUCCCUGUUGAACAUACGUCAUUUUCUUCCAUCGCACUCAUCAGGGUGUUUGCUCUUUUCCAUCCAAGCCAAAGAGCGACUUCAGUGUGCUCUGAACCGUGGAUGUGAGAGUGCGUGUUUGUGUGCUGCGUGAACUGUUUUUCCUGCGUGAAACACUUUCCAUACUGCGCCAUCCGCGGUGUUCUUUCUGCUUCAUCGGAGGACGAAUUUUUAUCAUCUAAUUGUUUGGAUGUGUGCUGCUACCGCUAGCUGUUCCUCAAACUACUUAAAAAGUGUGACACUGUGUGCACAGGCGUUCAAGUUUCAAUUGAUCCUCAAGCACAAAGCCUUCAUACAACACCGCGGUUGAGGUGCACCAAAUCUGAUGACAUCUUUCCUGAACCAAGCAGGCUGAACACGCGCACCACCACGGGCUCCAGCGCGGUGUGAAGAGGGAAGAAGAAAAGACAGAAUUGGAAACAGCCGCACCAGGCUUCCAACCACCGUGUGUGUGUAUGUAAGUAUGUGAGAACACAUGUGUGAAUCCUCUUGUGGGAACUGCAAAAAGAAGAGAAUUAAGAGUGUGAAGCAGCUAGACUGCCGCAACCAAAUCAAAAGAGUGAAUUCUCAUUUCAAUCCGAAAAACUGGGAGAGAGUGAUGGCAUGCGAGAGAGAAUAAAACUAGAAACACCCCAACAGUCAAAAGCCGAAGAUUUUAUAUUGACCUUUCACUUUUUCUAUCUGUCUCUCGCUCUAAUUUGAGCGAUUUUCCCCUGAUGAGUGUCCCCGAGCCUCCUCGUGUGGUUGUUGUUGUUGGAAGUUGAAGCCGAAACCCCCUCGUGCGCUGCCAAAAUCAGCGAAGAACGAAAUCGAGUGGCUCAAGCGAAAAAACGAAAAAAAAAAUGACGAACGAGUGUGCUGUGACAAUAACACACACACGCACAAGGCGACACCCGAAAUCUGGUGCGAUACCGGCUUUCAGUGGAGCAAGUACACACAUGCACACAUUUGGCCACACCACGGUGAUACAACACACAGCCACGCACUUGGCGAUACACGCUGUGUGGUGCGGUGCGGCGGACGUUCAGAAUUCAGUGGUGCAAAUACACACAUGCAUACACUUGGCGACACACGCUCUGCUUUGCGGUGAGGUUUGUGUUCUGUGUCCAGUGGUGCAAAUACACACACACACGCACUUGGCUACACACGCAGUACGGCGCGGUUGGCUUGGCAGAAGCGCAUACACACAUUCACGCAGUAGGCUUUACUUUCAGUCCAGUGAGGUUGGUGCUUGUGUGGUGUUUCAGCGCUUGGUAGUCAGCGGAUAAACCCCGUAAAAAAUAGAGUUUUGUUUAAUUUGAGGUAAGUAAAAGUGAUUAAAAUUUUCAACCAACAUCCCCCCUUCUAAUUAAUAUCAUUUUUCUUCCAUUUCAUGUGUGUUUCACGGCGAACGGAGACAACAAAACCUGUGGCUGUGUCGUGGUGUUGGAGAUGGUGGGCCGUACAGUGCAGCGAGAACUAGGCGCGACAGCGAUGAGGAGCAGAAAGUGUUGUGCUAAUUUUUCUCUGUGCGAGUGUAAAAAGUGUUUGUUAAAUUAUGUGCGUUAAUCUAGAAUUAAGUGCAGUGGUUAUUGUGCAUGUGUUGUGUUUUUUGUGUAUUUAUGUUAUAUAAAAUAUUUAAUAAAUCGAAUCAUGUUGAUAUAAUGGUUCGCACUGUAUCAUUUUGGAAAGAAAUCCUGGCAAAAAAGGGGGAGGGGGCUAUUUUACCGAAGGUUCGUGCCGAACCCCGUUCGGGUUUUGCUUCGGCCUCGGGUUUACUUCGGCUUCGGGACCCGACGGAUCACUUGAAUAAUUUCGCCAACUCAAGUUCUUUUUCAAGCGCGUAUUCAAGCGAUCUCUGAGUGCUGGUGCCCGCCCAGAUAGCAAAGCCGAAGGCCUUUGUAUAGGAGCCAUGGCGCUGAUCAAGGCUCACUUUUUCGCGCGCAUAAAGCAAAAAGUGCGCGAAGGCGAAAAAAAACCCGAAAGCGCUUCGUGUCCUCUCUCGUCCCACCGGCCACCAGCACUCAGAGAUCCGCUGAGAUUGAAGCUGGCUUUGAAGCUGAGUUGGCGAAAUUAUUCAACCGAUCCGUCGGGUCCCGAAGCCGAAGUAAACCCGAAGCCGAAGCAAAACCCGAACGGGGUUCGGCACGAACCUUCGGUAAAAUAGCCCCCUCCCCCUUUUUUGCCAGGAUUUCUUUCCGAAAUGAUACAGUGCGAACCAUUAUAUCAACAUUAUUCUAUUUAUUGAAUAUUUUAUAUAACAUAAAUACAAAAAAAAACACAACACAUGCACAAUAACCACUGCACUUAAUUCUAAAUUAACGCACAUAAUUUAACAAACACUUUUUACACUCGCACAGAGAAAAAUCAGCACAGCACUUUCUGCUCCACAUCGCUGUCGCGCCUAGUUCUUCUCGCCCCUAACAGCAUUAAA